GUAGUACUGUGUGCAUAGUUGUCAUCUAUGUCUGGUAGCAGUGUCUGUUUGUGUUUUGCAUUCAGAUCUUGCUAUCCACACAAACUGUGCAGCCGAAGAGUAACAUGGGAUCAUAGUACUGGUCUAGUGUUACGUGUUUGAACACAUCUCCCACUGGCCAGCCUCCAAAUUCUCAGACACAA
This 182-nucleotide small nucleolar RNA is filed under the name Neotoma lepida (desert woodrat). RNAcentral describes it as "Small nucleolar RNA SNORA23". It matches the Rfam family "Small nucleolar RNA SNORA23". Rfam says of the family: The members of this family belong to the H/ACA class of snoRNAs which are thought to guide the sites of modification of uridines to pseudouridines. Lineage: Eukaryota; Metazoa; Chordata; Mammalia; Rodentia; Cricetidae. The record is from Rfam by way of RNAcentral.